This 408-nucleotide ribosomal RNA is filed under the name uncultured bacterium. Its description in RNAcentral is "bacterial SSU rRNA". It matches the Rfam family "Bacterial small subunit ribosomal RNA", at positions 976 to 1381 of the family's 1533-position model. The record is from RNAcentral.
UGGGUUUGACAUCCCAAGAACUCUGUGGAAACAUAGAGGUGCCUCGCAAGAGGAGCUUGGAGACAGGUGCUGCAUGGCUGUCGUCAGCUCGUGUCGUGAGAUGUUGGGUUAAGUCCCGCAACGAGCGUAACCCCUGCCCUUAGUUGCCAUCAUUAAGUUGGGCACUCUAAAGGGACUGCCGGUGAUAAACCGGAGGAAGGUGGGGACGACGUCAAGUCCUCAUGGCCUUUAUGCCCAGGGCUACACACGUGCUACAAUGGCCGGUACAAAGGGAAGCAAUACGGUGACGUUGAGCCAAUCCCAAAAAACCGGUCUCAGUUCGGAUUGGAGUCUGCAACCCGACUUCAUGAAGGCGGAAUCGCUAGUAAUCGUGGAUCAGCACGCCACGGUGAAUACGUUCCCGGGCCU